This 207-nucleotide ribosomal RNA is filed under the name Staphylococcus epidermidis. RNAcentral's name for it is "partial 16S ribosomal RNA". It matches the Rfam family "Bacterial small subunit ribosomal RNA", at positions 1 to 201 of the family's 1533-position model. The record is from RNAcentral. Lineage: Bacteria; Bacillati; Bacillota; Bacilli; Caryophanales; Staphylococcaceae.
UUUUAUGGAGAGUUUGAUCCUGGCUCAGGAUGAACGCUGGCGGCGUGCCUAAUACAUGCAAGUCGAGCGAACAGACGAGGAGCUUGCUCCUCUGACGUUAGCGGCGGACGGGUGAGUAACACGUGGAUAACCUACCUAUAAGACUGGGAUAACUUCGGGAAACCGGAGCUAAUACCGGAUAAUAUAUUGAACCGCAUGGUUCAAUAG